GCAAUUUGUUGUAUAACUGUCAGUGAUUUUUUUCAAUUUAUUCCUUGCACCCAAAGAUUUAAUUUACAUUAAUUUGUAAAUUAUUAAUAAUAUUUAAGACGCUAUAAAGUGAGUAAAAGCAAUAACAGACGAGAAAAAUUCGGAGUUGCAUGCAUAUGCACGAAGUGGAUACUGUCAAGAAGUAAUAAAGAUCUGUGGAAUACGGGCGGUAGCAUCAAGAUGAGGCUAACGACUUGUAAAAAUAAAAAUUAGAAAUACUUGAGAGAUUAGGACACUCGUAACUUUCCUACAGAGUGUCCCAUAAAAGGCGAGUGUCUUCCUUUAAUGAAACACAUUCCUCACAAAUGUCAGUUCGGGUGAAGUCACGUCGAUGCAAGGGCAUGAAAAUUCUUUCGCAAGAUCCGAAUUAAGGUCAGAAAUCACUAACAAGUCCCGGAAUAGCUCCCAGUAAAAUUUUCUCAGAAAAGUGAUAUUUAUUCAAUAUUUAAUAUACUCAACAAAGAUAAAGAUAAGUAAUUUUUUCUCUAUUUCCAAAUUUUUUUAGCAAAAUUUAUAAAAUCAUAUAUUUUUUUUUCGUAAAAAUAUACGGAAUAGGUAAGCCCUAAUUUUACGACGAAACUUGUGGUCAGUUUGUCGUGUGGCAGAAUCCGCAUAAUGACUGCAGUUUUUUCGUGAUGUUCGAAGUACCAGAUGAUGGGCAAGGUUGUCGCCGCCACUGGCAUACCCGUGCUUUGAACGCGACGAACUUUCACUAUCUAUAGCGGGGCGAACCGGAGCUAAGCCGGAGCUGGGACCGACCAGCCUUGACAUUUCAGCGUCGCACGUUCGCGACAAUCUCCGGACUGCUGCUGCAACACUAACUGGCAUAAAUAAUAUAUUAAAUCGCAAGUACAGUGGCCAAAUUGCACCCUUGGAAGUGCAGAUUUCGAGCCAAGAAGACCAGAUUUGCUCAAUUAUUCGGUGCUUAUCUUGGCGCAAGUUUGGUUCGGAUGUUUGUUUAUGCUUCACAGUUAUGCAAUUGCUGUGAAUUUAUUAAAGCAUUCAAAAUUAAAAUUCGGGUUUAAAUGUCAUACAGUUUUUUACAAAUUAAUUGCCAAGGUUUCGCCGAUUCGUGCAGUUGGAAUGUUGUCAAAAAUGCAACAAAGUGGGUUCAUAGUCCAGGAGGUGGUGAAAAAUUAGUCGCACUUUUUUCCCCGCUAUAUUGUUUUUUAAUCUACUAAUAGCUAAUACGCGUAAUGCAAUAAAUGCAAUAAAAAGGGAGUAAAUAGUACUUGUUUACGGAUGUUUAUAAAAAUAACGAAAUAAACGCGUUGUUCUGGGUUUAAGCUGAGACUCUGUUUUAAAAUGAAAACGAGUGAUUCUGUAACUGACUGUGACACUGAAAAAACUGCGGAAUCUGCAUUUGAGAUGUUGGCUCCUGAGAAACAUAAAAAAACAUACGAAAAAAUAUGUUGAAACUUGAUAGAAAAAAUGUAAUUUUCAGGAAAAUUUUGCGAAAACAAUAACAAUAAACAUACAGUGUUUACUAAAGACUGUUUUUGCAAUAAAUUUAUCCUGGGAAUAAAUUUUUAAAAAUACUUUGUUGUAACAAUUGUAACUAUGGUGAUAAUACCACAAACAACUUAUCCAAAGUUUAUCUGAUGAUUGUAAAAUCCACCCUUAGUAUUACUAACUCAACUGAACCAAAUUAUUCAACACCUACAUCUUUUUGUUUUUGAAAUUAUUCAUUGGUGAACCAAAACCAAAGCGCUGGCUUUAGCAAGCGCAAUAAUUACGGGUCAAUAAGAUAAGCAAAUUAGCAGAACCUUGCGAAGUCUGUUUAAUAUUCACAAAAAACAUUAUUUUUCAGUAAUUGUAUAGUCACGCAUCAUAAAUUAUCCAUGGUCCAAAUAAUGUAAUAUUGUUAAUUACUAUGCAUACUUUUGAAAAAAUUACCACAUAAGAAUUUUAAAUAGGCAACGAUAAAAAAGAUAAAAGUGUUGGUCGUCGUUAAAUAAUUGACAUUUCGUAUUAAAUAAAUUUGCAUAAGUGAAUAAAGAACAUAAAUUUCAACUUAACAGACUACUGUUUGUUUUCCUCUUAUUUUAAAUGCUGCUUUCAAGUUAGUGUUUAAUGUUGAUAUUUUUAUUUCUGUUCUCUACACUCAUUACUAAAAGAAUAACAAUUUGUAGUCAUGAUAGAUAAAAAAUAUUUGUCAUUAGAGGCAAAUAUUUUGUAACUUUUAAUAGCUUGACAACGACAAAACAAGAAAAAAUGGAAAUACUGCAAUAGAUAAAGCAACGAUAAAACAAAUAUUUUGAAACUGAAGACAAAUUGACAUUGGACGAGCAACUUCUUACAUUAUCAAGGUGUCACAGACUUGCACUCCUCUGAAAAUCCACUUUUGUGGGGUUAUUGCCCGAGCAUUUUCGCGCAAACAGUCAAAUCCUAUUCAAAUUCUGCAAUUUCAGUUUAUGUGUUAACAGAACUGUUCUUCCAAGUGUGAAUUAGCCUGGCUAAUUAGCUGCAAACGUGUCAGAUCAGAUUAACAUAAAGAAUUAAAGUAAUAGUUGUGGACGAACGACAACAUUGCACACCCACGCAUCCACCGGAUUGUGUACAUCACAAACAGGAUAAUUCGACGUUUGCUUCAAAUCCUGAAAUUUUAAUUCAAUGGAAUCGAUGCGCGGAGAGGAUAAUAAA
Molecule: long non-coding RNA, 2682 nt
Organism: Tribolium castaneum (red flour beetle)
Lineage: Eukaryota; Metazoa; Arthropoda; Insecta; Coleoptera; Tenebrionidae
Exons: 3
Source: RefSeq, a predicted model, not a curated record